CCUACGGGAGACAGCAGUGAGGAAUAUUGGUCAAUGGCCGGAAGGCUGAACCAGCCAUGCCGCGUGAAGGUCAGUGCCCUAUGGGCGUUAAACUUCUUUUGUGCGGGAGCAAUAAUGGUCACGUGUGGCCAGACGAGAGUACCGUACGAAUAAGCAUCGGCUAACUCCGUGCCAGCAGCCGCGGUAAUACGGGGGAGGCAAGCGUUAUCCGGAUUUAUUGGGUUUAAAGGGUGCGUAGGCUGUGAGGUAAGUCAGCGGGGAAAUGCCCCCGCUCAACGGGGUGAAGUGCCAUUGAUACUGCCUUGCUGGAAGGCGGAUGCCGUGGGAGGAAUGUGUGGUGUAGCGGGGAAAUGCAUAGAUAUCAGACAGAACACCGAUUGCGAAGGCAUCUCACGAAGCCGCGAUUGACGCUGAUGCACGAAAGCGUGGGUAUCAAACAGGAUUAGAUACCCUAGUAGUC
Molecule: ribosomal RNA, 460 nt
Filed under: uncultured bacterium
Lineage: Bacteria
Description: partial 16S ribosomal RNA
Rfam family: Bacterial small subunit ribosomal RNA
Source: RNAcentral